UGUAGUUGGUGGGACUAACAACCCUGAGCGCAGCGGAUGCGUUCAGCUCUCCAGAGGUGUGCGUGCCGAUUACGGCGUUGGGCCUGUGACAUUGAACCACACAUUGGCCUCCUAUGCUCAGAUUUGCGCAAACUCAGCAAUUACAACUUGUGAGAUGAAGGAGCUGCCCGUUGAAGCGUACGGCCAAAACUUCACCGUGGCGUCGGGGACGAUGACAGCGGAGAUGGUGGUGUUGUAUUGGGCGAGGGAGAGCGAGUUCUAAGACUACAAGUCGAAGAAGUGCAUCGGGGGCGAGUGUCGCCAUUUCAAGGCUUUGGUGUGGAGGGACACCGAAUCCAUUGGUUGUGCAAUGGUGAACUGCAGAAAAUAUUUAGGGAUCAUGUGGGUGGAGUUGUGAAGGGCGCAUCUCGGAGAAAAUCUUUAGAAAAUUUAAUGCAAGUUAGACUCGUGACCGAAGUCAACACCCAAAUAUACCCUCCGUUAGCUCCAUCAACAUCAGUGGCACAAGUCGUGGAGCACGACAAUGGUACUCCGGAAUAUUUACACAAGAGUAUGAUAUUGUGCGCUUUAGGCAUAACUUUCAUAGCUUUUGGUUUCAUCAAAAAGAUCUUAUACUAGUAGAGAUAGUUGUCUUCGUGUUGGGAAUGCGACCAAAGUCCCACAUUUGGCUAGAUAAGUAAGAGACAACAUCUCUAUUGGUAUGAGAUCUUUUUUUUAAGACUAAAUGCAAAGCCAUAAGACUUAUGCCCAGAGUGAACAAUAUUCAUCAUUGUGAAA
This is a long non-coding RNA of Momordica charantia (bitter melon), 777 nucleotides long. RefSeq lists it as uncharacterized. NCBI's taxonomy places the organism in Eukaryota, Viridiplantae, Streptophyta, Magnoliopsida, Cucurbitales, Cucurbitaceae. The record is from RefSeq and is a predicted model, not a curated record.